This is a long non-coding RNA of Symsagittifera roscoffensis, 386 nucleotides long. RefSeq lists it as uncharacterized. The transcript has 4 exons. Lineage: Eukaryota; Metazoa; Xenacoelomorpha; Acoela; Convolutidae. The record is from RefSeq and is a predicted model, not a curated record.
CACCGGCGUAAGAAUUUAUUUAUCAUUCACCAAAACAAAAAACGCGCUUUGAAUGGUUUAAUAAAACCUUGAUUUUAGUCAUUCAUUUGAGCAUUUAUUAUUCAGAGGGGGGCAUCACAACAGUCAGUUUUCUCCUAGUUGUCUUCAUCUUUUUACAGUCUGCGAUCAUCGCCAUCGCCCACCUGCACGAGACACAAUUACAGAGUGAAUUGGAGGAGUUACUACAAAUUGUAGCAGCAAAUCAAGAAAGCUACCAACUUUGGACCUAUUACAACUAUCGGCCGUCGUCUUCUGGAUAACAACAAUACCGAAGUUAAACUUACCUGCGAAUCUCUAACUAAUAUCAGUUGUAUACAAGUAUCCUAAUUGAUCAAGUUCUCCAAAGU